This 87-nucleotide transfer RNA is filed under the name Burkholderiales bacterium. RNAcentral describes it as "tRNA-Leu". It matches the Rfam family "tRNA". Rfam says of the family: Transfer RNA (tRNA) molecules are approximately 80 nucleotides in length. Their secondary structure includes four short double-helical elements and three loops (D, anti-codon, and T loops). Further hydrogen bonds mediate the characteristic L-shaped molecular structure. tRNAs have two regions of fundamental functional importance: the anti-codon, which is responsible for specific mRNA codon recognition, and the 3' end, to which the tRNAs corresponding amino acid is attached (by aminoacyl-tRNA synthetases). tRNAs cope with the degeneracy of the genetic code in two manners: having more than one tRNA (with a specific anti-codon) for a particular amino acid; and 'wobble' base-pairing, i.e. permitting non-standard base-pairing at the 3rd anti-codon position. The record is from RNAcentral. Lineage: Bacteria; Pseudomonadati; Pseudomonadota; Betaproteobacteria; Burkholderiales.
GCCCGGGUGGUGGAACGGUAGACACAGUGGACUUAAAAUCCGCCGCCGCGAAAGCGGCAUGCCGGUUCGAUUCCGGCCCCGGGCACC